UUGAAUUUUAAUGAAGAGUUUGGUUGUAGCUGGCCCAUUCAUUUGGGCAUGUGCACACCUUCCUCUUUCAUCCCACACACACCUGUGAACCUGUGAGACAGAGAUGGGGAAUUUACUUGCUGCUUUUUGGAAUACAAAGGCAAUAGGUUAUUGGACCCCCCCUCUGUCUACUCAAUUAAUAUAAACUCAAUUUAUUUAAAACGAAUGUAGUGGAUGUAACACAUCUCAUAC
RNAcentral lists this unclassified non-coding RNA (231 nucleotides) under soil metagenome. RNAcentral describes it as "partial internal transcribed spacer 1". The record is from RNAcentral.